UUUCUCUGGGUUACUCAAUCUUGAAAUACAUUUCCAAUUCUUUUUUUAGAGAAAACUUUACUUUUUAUUUUUUUAAAGGCUACAUUGGCAAGAAUUUAGAGAAAACUUUCUAGGAGAAUCAGGAAAUACUACCCAUGGUGGGUGGAAGGGAGUAUAUGUAAAAAUCUAGAGAAUGAUUGUAAGGAUAGAAAAAAACUAAUAUUCCUGUUCUUUUUCAUUCCAUUCCAAGCUGUGUUUAUUCUAAAGAUACUUGAAUUUUAGGAACCCUCAGUUCCUUUUUGAAUGCUAUGUUGUAAUUACCAGUGACUCAUUCAUCUGUACUCAAGUUUUUGGAUAUAAAUGAAGGUUAAAUAUGACUCCGGUUAAUUUAAUGCUUUAACUAUACCAUACCAACCACAUCACUAAUACACUGUCAAGAUGCAAUCUUCCUUUCUUACUAAUUACAUUAACUUGAUGAGUCACUUUUCUUUAGUUAUUGCUUAUAUUGCCUUUUAAUAUUUAUCUUUGCUGAACUAAUUCUCCCAUCUUUUUAAUAAUUCAUUUUAAUUCCUGAUUUUUAAAUACUUAAAAGGGUUAUAACAAAGGUUAUUUUCUUUAUACUUA
This 603-nucleotide long non-coding RNA is filed under the name Homo sapiens (human). Its description in RNAcentral is "long non-coding RNA NONHSAT194415.1". The record is from RNAcentral. Lineage: Eukaryota; Metazoa; Chordata; Mammalia; Primates; Hominidae.